AGUGAACGCUGGCGGUAUGCCUAACACAUGCAAGUCGAACGGCAGCACAGUAAGAGCUUGCUCUUACGGUUGGCGAGUGGCGGACGGGUGAGGAAUACAUCGGAAUCUACUUUUUCGUGGGUGAUAACGUAGGGAAACUUACGCUAAUACCGCAUACGACCUACGGGUGAAAGCAGGGGAUCUUCGCACCUUUCUCGAUUGAAUGAGCCGAUGUCGGAUUAGCUAGUUGGCGGGGUAAAGGCUCACCAAGGCGACGAUCCGUAGCUGGUCUGAGAGGAUGAUCAGCCACACUGGAACUGAGACACGGUCCAGACUCCUACGGGAGGCAGCAGUGGGGAAUAUUGGACAAUGGGCGAAAGCCUGAUCCAGCAAUGCCGCGUGAGUGAAGAAGGCUUUCGGGUUGUAAAGCCCUUUUGUUGGGAAAGAAAAGAAGCAGGUUAAUACACCGAUGUUCUGACGGUACCCAAAGAGUAAGCACCGGCUAACUUCGUG
This 492-nucleotide ribosomal RNA is filed under the name uncultured bacterium. RNAcentral's name for it is "partial 16S ribosomal RNA". It matches the Rfam family "Bacterial small subunit ribosomal RNA", at positions 29 to 507 of the family's 1533-position model. The record is from RNAcentral.